RNAcentral lists this ribosomal RNA (434 nucleotides) under uncultured Actinomycetes bacterium. RNAcentral describes it as "bacterial SSU rRNA". It matches the Rfam family "Bacterial small subunit ribosomal RNA", at positions 28 to 480 of the family's 1533-position model. The record is from RNAcentral. Lineage: Bacteria; Bacillati; Actinomycetota; Actinomycetes.
AUGGCGACGAACGCUGGCGGCGUGCUUAACACAUGCAAGUCGAGCGAGGAGCUUCGGCUCCUAGCGGCGAACGGGUGAGUAACACGUGGGCAACCUGCCCCAAGCUCUGGAAUAACUCCGGGAAACCGGGGCUAAUGCCGGAUAUGACGCUACCGGGCAUCUGGUGGUGUGGAAAGAUUUAUCGGCUUGGGAUGGGCCCGCGGCCUAUCAGCUUGUUGGUGGGGUGAUGGCCUACCAAGGCGACGACGGGUAGCCGGCCUGAGAGGGCGAUCGGCCACACUGGGACUGAGACACGGCCCAGACUCCUACGGGAGGCAGCAGUGGGGAAUAUUGCGCAAUGGGCGAAAGCCUGACGCAGCGACGCCGCGUGAGGGAUGACGGCCUUCGGGUUGUAAACCUCUUUCAGCAGGGACGAAGCGCAAGUGACGGUACCU